CUUCCCCGAACGGGGGCCGUUCGAUCGCGCUCAUCUCGUUGUUCCCGACGCAUUUGUCUCCCGCCCUAAGGACGCCGCAGCCGGUUCGGUAGCUGAAAGCGCGACGGCCAGAAGGAUGGAUCAAUGGCAGGUGGCCGGUGGGGGAGCUCGUCUUCCUCGCCGGUUGUUAGCCGGUCCGUCAGUGGCUCGUCACUGAACCGAGGUGUCAAAAAGCCCUCAGGGGCCCUCACGCGUCCUCCUCUUGAGAUGCGGGAUAAAGCGUUACAGGCGAGCUCCGCCGCUAGAUCGCACUCCUGACGAGUGGAUCGGCUCUCGGAGAGCACCGCUGGUUUCGUUAGACCCGUUGGAGGCCGGAGGCUGGCGGCGAGUAGGUCGGUCACCCAUCCGACCCGUCUUGAAACACGGACCAAGGAGUCUAACAUGUGCGCGAGUCAAUGAGUCUUGAUUAGGCUCAUGGGCGCAAUGAAAGCAAAGGUCGUCUGAACGGCGACCGAGUUGGGAUCUGACCCCUGACGGGGUCAGCGCACCAACGACCCGUCCUAUCUGGCUCGCCAGUUGGGCGGAGUGUGAGCGCACACGUUGGGACCCGAAAGAUGGUGAACUAUGCCCGGACAGGACGAGGCCAGAGGAAACUCUGGUGGAGGUCCGCAGCGGUUCUGACGUGCAAAUCGAUCGUCAGAUCCGGG
Molecule: ribosomal RNA, 686 nt
Filed under: Sinopoda pyramidalis
Lineage: Eukaryota; Metazoa; Arthropoda; Arachnida; Araneae; Sparassidae
Description: partial large subunit ribosomal RNA
Rfam family: Eukaryotic large subunit ribosomal RNA (bases 283-686)
Source: RNAcentral